GUGGGGAAUAUUGGACAAUGGGCGAAAGCCUGAUCCAGCCAUGCCGCGUGUGUGAAGAAGGUCUUCGGAUUGUAAAGCACUUUAAGUUGGGAGGAAGGGCAGUAAGUUAAUACCUUGCUGUUUUGACGUUACCAACAGAAUAAGCACCGGCUAACUUCGUGCCAGCAGCCGCGGUAAUACGAAGGGUGCAAGCGUUAAUCGGAAUUACUGGGCGUAAAGCGCGCGUAGGUGGUUUUGUAAGUUGGAGGUGAAAUCCCCGGGCUCAACCUGGGAACUGCCUCCAAAACUGCAUGACUAGAGUACGGUAGAGGGUAGUGGAAUUUCCUGUGUAGCGGUGAAAUGCGUAGAUAUAGGAAGGAACACCAGUGGCGAAGGCGACUACCUGGACUGAUACUGACACUGAGGUGCGAAAGCGUGGGGAGCAAACAGGAUUAGAAACCCCUGUAUCC
Molecule: ribosomal RNA, 449 nt
Filed under: uncultured bacterium
Lineage: Bacteria
Description: partial 16S ribosomal RNA
Rfam family: Bacterial small subunit ribosomal RNA
Source: RNAcentral